This 664-nucleotide ribosomal RNA is filed under the name uncultured bacterium. RNAcentral describes it as "bacterial SSU rRNA". It matches the Rfam family "Bacterial small subunit ribosomal RNA", at positions 231 to 887 of the family's 1533-position model. The record is from RNAcentral.
UCGCGGCCUAUCAGCUUGUUGGUGAGGUAAUGGCUCACCAAGGCGAUGACGGGUAGCCGACCUGAGAGGGUCGUCGGCCGCACUGGGACUGAGACACUGCCCAGACUCCUACGGGAGGCAGCAGAGGAGAAUCAUUCGCAAUGGGCGAAAGCCUGACGGUGCGACGCCGCGUGAGGGAUGAAGGCUCUAGGGUUGUAAACCUCUGUCGGGAGCUAGGAACGGCGAGGAUGCUAAUAUCAUCUUCGAUUGACCAGCUCCGAAGGAAGCUCCGGCUAACUACGUGCCAGCAGCCGCGGUAAUACGUAGGGAGCAAGCGUUACUCGGAAUUACUGGGCAUAAAGGGCGUGUAGGCGGAUACGCAAGUCCGGUGUGAAUGCCCUCGGCUCAACCGGGGAGUGCCAUUGGAAACUGCGUGUCUUGAGUGCGGGAGGGGAGAGUGGAACUCUUGGUGGAGCGGUGAAAUGCGUAGAUAUCAAGAGGAACGCCAGUGGCGAAAGCGACUCUCUGGCCCGUUACUGACGCUGAGGCGCGAAAGCCAGGGGAGCGAACGGGAUUAGAUACCCCGGUAGUCCUGGCCCUAAACGAUGGGCACUAGGUAGUGGCGGUUCUGAUGCCGUCUCUGCCGUAGCUAAUGUGAUAAGUGCCCCGCCUGGGGAGUACGGAA